UACAGAGGGUGCGAGCGUUGUCCGGAAUCACUGGGCGUAAAGGGCGCGUAGGUGGUGGCUUAAGCGUGCGGUGAAAGCUCGGGGCUCAACUCCGAGUCGGCCGUGCGAACUGGGCUCACUGGAGCAUAGUAGAGGCAGGUGGAAUUCCGGGUGUAGCGGUGGAAUGCGUAGAGAUCCGGAAGAACACCGGUGGCGAAGGCGGUCUGCUGGGGUGAGGCUGACGCUGAGGCGCGACAGCGUGGGGAGCAAACAGG
This 254-nucleotide ribosomal RNA is filed under the name uncultured bacterium. RNAcentral describes it as "partial 16S ribosomal RNA". It matches the Rfam family "Bacterial small subunit ribosomal RNA", at positions 524 to 776 of the family's 1533-position model. The record is from RNAcentral.